Molecule: long non-coding RNA, 3160 nt
Organism: Mesocricetus auratus (golden hamster)
Lineage: Eukaryota; Metazoa; Chordata; Mammalia; Rodentia; Cricetidae
Exons: 5
Source: RefSeq, a predicted model, not a curated record
CACGAGGACUUUCUCGAGAGCCCUGGAGAGCAGCUCUAGUGGCAUCGGGGCCUGAAACCCCAGGCUUGGCUUGUUUGAUGUUUAGCAUCCCAAAGCGGCUCCCCACCCCCGCCCCAGCCUGGGAACCCGGAGCUGUGGGGCCAAGGAGAAGGGAAAGCAGUUCUCUCAGCUGACUGGCGGUGGACUGGGCUGGGCUCAGAGAAGAGGCGAAAACAACAGGACAGAGAUGCCCUGAGCAGGGAAGGAAGGGGUCCUGAGAUACUGUGAUCACCUAUAAGGACACAGCUGGGGUCCUCAAGGCCAGGGGGAAAGAUAGAUCCCAGCUUGCGGGCACACCCUGGGGGGGGGGGGGAAUAGCCCGGUGGAAAUAGCUUGGGGCCCGCAUGAGCAAGGUAAGCUGAGUCUCGGUCCAGUUAAGCGAGCAUCCGGACAGUGUCCAAACCUUCGGGCGGUCAGGGCCUCGAGGAGACAGCGCUUUGGAGGAGACAAGCUCAGGACUUGGCCUUUCGUAGGGAAAAACUUGCUUGGGAGUCUUCCAAGAGAUUGUAAAUGCUUCUGAGUCUGGACCUGGAAGCUCCAGUGACGAUGCUUGGAUGUGGCUUCAUAGUCUUUGAUUUUGAAAGCCCAGGAAGAUUCACAGACUUACAGAGGCCAUAUAACCUCCGAGCUGCCUGGAGUCUGGGCGGCGGUGAGCGCUGCGGAGCUGUCGCAAGGAAAGCAUGGGUCUCUUCUCAGGCGAUCCCAGACAAGAGGAAAUGAGAGAGAGGUUUUCUGAGUUCCAACUCAUUAGGGACCAGGUUGAAACAAGCUGCUAUUUGGUAUACCUGGGGCACUGUGAAAUCAAAAUACAUUUCUCUCAAAUAUCAGUGCUCUGUAUGUGAGGCUACAACAUGUAGGAGUGCAUCAUGAAGGCGUUCUACAGGCAAAAUAAAGCUGAGAAGAUCCUCUGGGUUGGGAGGAGAGACCCCUUUCUCAUAGUCUCAUUUCGGAAGUGGCUUGGGAACCUAAAAUGAGCUAUCAUCACCAAAGGCUGUUUGCUUUAGUCAUGUAUCUCCUAGUGAUGGUGGAGGUUCCUGGGGUUUGUACCUACAAAACACUGCAGCGGAACCAUUACUGUGCUGUAGAGGCAUGCAGGAGUCCCAAGGCAAAUCAAAACGUUUUUUAAUGUAUGACAUGUGUGAAGUUGAUGAAAAUUUAUGACUUCUCUCCAUCAUGGCUGUUUCAGCUUAAGUCAUCAGAGAAAGAUUUACUCUCCAUCUCAGCGACAGGGUCCAUUUGUGACCCUUAGCAACUCACCCUUCAGACCACCAGCCUCAGGACAAAUACUUUAGUUUCGAUAAUCAUUCACAGAUAAUAAUAAAAAGACACAGGACAGAGAUGAACUGAAUGGCGCCAAUGAUCAGGAUGUGAAGUCUACAUCAGAACCAGUCUAUCUGGAGUACUCUCUUCUUUAGCAAAGCAGGUAUUUGUAUAAUGUGGGAUUGUCUUUUCUUGGUCACUUCUCCCUAACCUUACAAAAUAUGAUACAUUUCUUCCAUUAUUUCAAGUGAAUUGCUUUGGAGCCUUUGCAGGAAGCAACAGAGGAACUAAAUAAAAUAUACUUUAAAAGAUGUGUUCUGGUGUUCCAGGCGGUGGUGGCUCACACCCUUAAUCCCAGCACUCAGGAUCCUCCCUCGGUCUUCCUCUGUCUCUGAACAGGUUCUACUGAAGGGUGCACUCACCCUCUCCCCCUCCUUGACUUGAACCCUAAGUAUGUUCUAGUCUCAGUCCCCAUGGCUUCAUCAGGAAGGAACGCUCUAGGUCUCCUCUCCACCUUGUCAUUCAGCCUCUGUGUAUAAUUAACCUAGAGAUUUACCUGACAAUGACCCAGUGCCUGAAUCGAAGAGUUAGCCUUAUCUGUGAAACUGCCAUUCCCUAUUCAAUACUUUUAUCUUUAUCAGUCUCAUUUUCAUCUUGAAAUAAAAAUUCAAAAAUGCCUCAAUCUGCACCAAAACCUAGCCCCUAAGUUUAAGGUUAUGCCUGUGCUAUCAAAGUUAUACUUACAGUAGGACAUGUAGUUUUUAUUGAGUAUUAACAUCCUAGGCACUAUGGUGGGAACUGUGGGUUGCUAUCCCUUUGGGGGUCCAACGACCCUUUCACAGGGGUCAUCUAAGACCAAGUGAAAAUACGAUAUUUACAUUAUGAUUAAUAACUUGCAAAAUUACAGUUAGAAGUAGCAACAAAAAUAAUUUUGUGGUUGGGGGCAUCACUACAACAUGAGGAACUGUAUUAAAGGGCUACAGCAUUGGUAUGGUUGAGAACCACUGUUCUAGAAGCUUAUAAAAUCACAAGGAGACAGCAAACAGUAACGAAAAAACCAAAUGUAGGCCAUAUUUAGGUAAGUGUUAAAAAUAACCAAAUUAAAAUCCUACGAAAACUCAAUUCUGGAAACAUUCUACAGCUAUACCUGUGCGUGAACAAAAGGCAAAUUGCUCAAUGCAGCAUUGUAUGUAUGGUAAGAGUUAAGGGACCUUUUGGUUAUCGACAAGGACAACCUGUCAAUUAGGAGAUGCCCUCCAUGGAGUAACAUUGAGUGACCCAGGAUAAAUUUCACAUGAAAAAAGCAAAUGAUGGGCUGGGUGGUGGUGCACACCUUUAAUCCCAGCAUUCAGAGGCAGAGGCAGGCAAAUCUUUGUGAGUUUGAGGCCAGCCUGGUCUACAGAACAAGUUUCAGGACAGCUAAGACUACACAGAGAAACACUGUCUUGAAACAGAAACAAAAACAAAAAUCUCAAACAAUGGAACAUGUAUAACAUAUGCUCUCCUCUGCAGAAAAAACUGUAAAAUAAUGUGUAUUAAUGUCUAGAUUUUUUUCUCUUUAGUAAGAAAGAGUGAGCAAAAGACAGGAUUCCAUUUCACUCUAGGAGUGGCUUUCAUGUUCAUCUCAUUUUUCUGCUUGCAUCAAGGGGACUUGUCAAGUUAGUCUGAGCAAGUACACUUUAUGUAGUUACCUUGGUGGCAAAACUGCUUAGUGAUACAUUUCUCAGAAAUAAUCUCUAACCUAUGAUUCCCUCUUCCCCCUAUCCUACCCCCCACUCAAUAGGUUAGAAGACAGAUCAGGCACCAGUGUGACCUCUAGUGAUCUAAAGGGAUGACACCAACUGGCAAGCUAAGCAAUAGU